GUGUCUCUGAGAAAGAGGAAAUCUUGGCAGAGGCGCCACACCCCAGAAAUGCCAGCCUCGGGCCCAGCUCCAAGCACUUGGCACUAGUAGCUGCAGAGUAGCCUGGUGUGUGAGAAAAGCCCAGAAAGCAGCUAACUCCAAGUUCAAGUCUAGAUUCAGUCCCAGCUCUGCGGCUUACUGCCUCAGACACCCCCUGGCUCUUCAUCUCCCCAAAUGUCCCAAACUUCAUAGCGCUCAUUUUACAGCUGGGAAGACUGAGGCACAACGGGCAAGUCUAGACAACCUUACCCUUUCUUGCCUUGCAGACUGGGAGUCCCAGUAUGGAACAUUCUUCCUCUACUCUUUGCCUAGCUAACUCAUGUUCAUAGUUCAGGGCUCAAAGGGCACCUCCUCCAGGAAGCCUUCUCUAUGCCUCAGUGCCCUCAUCCAUAAAAUGGGAAAGUGGGAAGCUUCCAUUCUAAGCUUAACCUCUAGAAAGAUCUCCCAAUGCAUCCAUCCUCCAACUGGCUGGCCAAGUCCUUCCCCACCCAGAUCUGCUAGAAUAGGGGCUGCCUGCAUGUUGGGGAGACUCAGUUCCCCAAGGCAAAGUGGAAGGGGUACCUCAAUGAGGGGAAGGGAGCCUGUGGGGAAUCUAUUAAGCAUGGUGGUUCAAAACAUGGGCCAGUGGGUUCAAAUCCUGCCCGGCCAUGAACUCCAGCAGAUCAUUUACCCUCCAGAGACUCUUACAGCCUCUUGUUUUCUCUCCAAUGAAAUGGGGUACUAGAACCUACCCUAUAUAUAGUGUUCUGAGGGUUAACUGACAAAAUGAAUGUAAAGAACAUACCACAGUGUCUAGUACCUGAUAAGCCUUCAUAGAAUUACUACUGCUGAGAGGUGCUUAAGAGGAUUCUUCUAUAUGGAGAGCUUAAAUCCAGGGGGGGGGCUACUUUAAGGACACAAAUAACCAUAAAUAGGAGAGGCACUUGGGCUGGAGACAGAGCCAGGGACUGGAAACUGGGGUGGGAGUCAUCAGUGGGAGUGGAUGGGGUGGCCAAUGGCAGUACUAGGAGCAGGGUGGAUCCCUGGUGGCCCGGGGGAAUGGCCAGAAAGGUGGGAGGAGAGCUAGGUGAGUCAGGUGCACUGGGGAGAGCCCCAGCUCACCUCCCAGCCUCCCCUGGUUUCCCCUUCGGUGACCCCUUUCCCUUAGCAGAAGCCGAGGCCAGAGGCAGGCCUGGGGCUGCCACCACACCUUCCCAGGGGUUGCGGGAUGGGUUUGAAGUGAAUAAAUCUGGAGUAAACAAAGUGUAGUAAGUAACACUAAUGCUAGGCUCUGAGUCUUACGAUUACUCGCAUUUUUUUUACAGGGGCAUUUCCCAGGGCACAGAGAGGUUAAGUGACCCGUGCAAAUGUAAUGGUCAAGGCUGCGUUAAAAGCCAGAAAGCCUGAAUUUAGGGAGGAGGCCAUGAAACCGUGCCCUGCACGCAAGAGCCUCGCCCAGGUGGGCGCUUGGAAUCCAAAGGCGACUCUCCUUGUGAGCCAACCUCUGUCCCUGAGCCCGUUGGAAGGCAGUACUUUUGGGGCGCCUUUCUACACCCUUCCACCCCACUCCCCUCUUUGGGGAGCUUGUCCACCCCUCAGUGCAGCCCCCAUCUGGCCAGCUGCCAGAGCCUGUUGUCAGGACUGCCAUUCCGACUGUCGUUGCCGUAGUGGCCGCCAGGGGUCGCCUUGAGCGCGCGAACGGCGGCACCGAAGAAAACCCUGCGGUACGGGGGGCACCGGGUCUUCCAAGGCCCAAAGGAGCACACCCACCUCCGCGCUCGCGCUCGAGGCCCCGGGCCUUACCUGCCUGGAGCUGGGGCGGUCUGAGUCGGGGAGGCUUUCUUGAGUUCCCGGGUCAGACCCCGCCCCACAAGCGUCUGACACCAGGGUCCUGCCACCCCCAGCCCUCGCAGCUCCUCCGACUUACCUCCAUCCGUCCUUCCUUCCUUCCCUAACACUCCCGGAGGCAACAGAACGAACGUGAAGUCCGCCGACUCAUCCCUGCCUGGAGCACUUUUUCGAGCACCAACUGUAUGCCAGACAAUACCCCCGGAGGUACUGGAGACCCGAGGUUGAGCAGGACAGGACCCAGAACGGGAGCUCGGUGAGGGAGGGAGGGUUUGUCAGCACUGUUCACUUGCAGCUCCUGGCGCACAGAAGCCCUCAGUACCCAAAGCAUGUUUGGUGCUUACAGCCUGCUCGGAGAGCCUGGAUUGAAAAGGUGAUUGCACAAUUCAUCGGUGACCGCUGUGAGUGCUCCAGACGAGCUAUACCAGGCCCAGGCUGUUUUACUUAACCGGCUGGAUCUUAAUCUUCCCUAAUGUCCCACACUUCAUAGCCCUCAUUUUACAGCUGGGAAAACUGAGGCACAGGCGGCAGUCUAGACAGCCCUACCCUUUCUUGCCUUGGGAGUCCCAGUCUACAACAUUCUUCCGCUACUCUUUGCCUGGCUAACUCGUGUUCAUAGUUCAGGGCUCACGCAAAGGGCACCUCCUCCGGGAAGCCCUCCCUGAUCGUCUCCCCAGUUCCGUGCUCCCCAUCCACCUGAUUAUGGGUCUGUCUCCCCUUCUGGACUGUGAAACCCUGAGGGCGGGAAGCAUGUAGACUCCGUUCCUCCUCAUCUACCUUUAGUACCCGGCUCAGUGCCUGGCAACAGGGUCAAGAGCGAAUGAAUGUUUGUCGAAUGAAGAAACGAGAGCGCACGGAGCAGAGGGUGGAAAGGCGCCCUUCCAGGUUCUUCUACCCUGGCCUAAUGGCAUUCUGCAGCCCAGAAGUAAGCCCCACUGGCAUUCCGACGUUCCAAGGACGCCAGGAAACUAUCAAGUGUCGGAGCUGAGCUGGAGGAGUCGGAGUCCAGUUUCCAUGGCAACCCCAGCCACGUGUCCAGAGCUUCCCGAGGGUGGACACCGGGCCCCCCUUUGGGCCUCCCUGGGUGCCUGGUGCACCGUAGGUGCGCCUCAGGGUUUGCUGAAUGCACUAGAGGCCACGGCACCCCCUGCAUCUCCCCGGGACCCUCUGAGAGCGGGGUGGGGGAAGCCUUGGGCCCCGAGUCCCCCGGGGCAGAAUACAGCCUCCUGCCAGACACCGUGGGUGGGCUGUGGCCAGGCUUUGCUCCCUUUUCCAGCCCGGUCUGUCCUGUUGCCUGCGAGUGGCCUGGCCUCCUGAGCAGCCCAGCCCCCCCCCCCUCCAUCCCCAAGCAGGGCCCUGGCCACCCAGCCCUCAUUGGCUGCAUGUAUCCUUGGAGACAGGCACCAGCAGAGCAAACAGGCCACCGGCUGCGGGCAGAAGGGUGCCUCCCUCCCCGCCCCUUCCCCCCCCACCGCCAUGAGGGAUCUGAGCACCACCCAGAGCCGAGCCUGCUGGCAAGAGCACAUCCAGAAGGAGACCACAGCCCGGGGCGCCUGGAAGAUCAACUACGGCCACAAGUACCUGAAGGAGGGGCCCAUGCCCAGGAAGCGGCUCCAGCGGGCCCGCCUCGGGUUAGCCUUGGGAGCAGGGCCCUUGGCUGUCACCAGCUCCCCUGAGAGCAAGGAGGUACAGGAUGGACGGCCAGAGACCAAGGGGGUCCGGCAUCAGCUGUCCAGGGGAGUGGGUGUCCAGGGCUCCCCGCCCAAGGGAGACAAGGUCUGGGAGACCCAAAGAGGCCCUCAGGGUCCAGCAGUCCAGACCAGGCCAGAGGGCUUAGAAAUGCGGCAGGUCCCCCCCAGCACCCUGCAGCUGCUCUUCCAAGGCAUCUCCCACGACGGCCAGGGCCGGGCCUCGUACCUCCGCGAGCGGCAUCGGAGAAGCCGGAGAAGUUUCUGUACCCGAUCUUGUCAUCCUGGGAGUACGGCUGGCACAUGGGUAAGGGCUGCCACCAUCUUGCCACUCCAGGCCUCUGCCGGCAGGCCGGGCCUUCCCCGCCCCAGGCCUGUCCUUAAUUACCCUGCAGGCACCAGCCUAUCCCUCUGGUGCACCCUUCUCCGAGCAGGCCCCACGCCUUCACACCUUCAGGCCUUCACACAUUUUCCACCUGGAAUGUACCUCCUGCCUCUUCCUCUGCUCGCUAACUUUCACAUGUCACCUCCUCUGGGAAGUCCUCCGAAAGUCUUCCAGGCGGAUUUGAGUCCACCCUUGUGCUUAUGCAGCUUAUUGCGUCUACAAAAGCGCUGGGCCCACUGUGUUCCUUGAGUAUCCAUCUGGCCUAAGGAGCCCUUUGGGUUCCAAACUUCUUAGUUAAUUUUAUUAAGGCCCCCCCAAUCCCCAGCUUGGGACUGGUACUCUGUGACCGUGGAAUGAAUGAACAAAUGAAUGAAGGUAGACCUAGGGAAUGAGGCCUUGGUUUGGAAUCAGGAAGUGCAAAUUCAAAUCCUGGCUCCUCCCCUUGGGAGCUGUGUGAGCUCAAGGAAGAACCUUAACUUCACUGGGCCUCAGUUUCCACAUCUGAAAAAUGGGACUAUACUAAUACCUGCCUUCCUAUGUCACAGAGUUUUGAGGAAAUCACAUGGGAAAGCACCCUGAACAGAAAUUUUCAGCACCUUGAACAGAAAUUUUCCUCACAAAAGCCUCACGAGGUGGGUGGGACAGACAUUCAUUCAUUCGACAUGUGAUGCUUUCAUUCAGGACAGCCCAGGGAGGGAGAUCUGGAAUCACCGAAUCCCAGCUCUGCCCCAACAUGAGUUAGCAAAUGAACAAGCACAGAAGAGGGACUCAGUUUGAAAUUAGGGGGCCUUGGGGCGCCUGGGUGGCUCAGUUGGUUAAGCAAUUACCUUCGGCUCAGGUCAUGAUCCUGGAGUCCCGGGAUCGAGUCCCGCAUCGGGCUCCCUGCUCAGCGGGGAGUCUGCUUCUCCCUCUGAUCCUCCCCCUCUCAUGCUCUCUGUCUCCCAUUCUCUCUCUCAGAUAAAUAAAUACAAUCUUUAAAAAAAAAAAAAAGAAAGAAAGAAAUUAGGGGGCCUGGGUUUGGAUUCUGGUCUGUUCAUUCUUUCAUUCAACAAAGGUUUAGUGAGCACCUGAUAUAUAUCAGACCCUUUGUGUCCCUGGGGAUACGACAGGAAAUGUGAGUGUUGAUGCUGUAGAAGGAGAUCAGUUAGGAAAAGGAGAGGAAGACCCAGGGGCUCCUGGGGUAGACAGGUGGUCAGGGAGGCCUGCUGGGAGGGGACGCUUGAGCAGAGGCCUGAGGUGUUUCCACGCCAUCAGAUUCUCCUGAGGAGGGCCUGACUCCCUGGGCCCACAGAGCGAGUCUCAGUUCAGGCGCUAUGCCCUCCUCCCUGCCCCCUCCGCUCCUCCAGCCUCCAGGUCUAUGCCGCCUGCCGGGGAAUCCACUGCCGGGCAAGGGUCACCGCCAGACUCAGCAAAUUAAACUACGGGAUGCCCGUCCCAUUUGAGUUUCGGGUAAACAAUAAUUGUUUAGUCUAAGUAUGUCCUAGAUAUGGCAUGGAACAUUCUUAGACUGAAAAAUUAUUCAUCGUUUAUCUGAAAUUCAAAUGUAACUGGGCAUCCUGUACUUAAUCCAGCAACCCAAACACGGGAGCGGGGGGAGCUGCUUCUGGAUGCCUCCCGCGUGCUCGGGCAGUGCUAGGUUCAGGGCAAAGACUGGAAGACUGUUUUCCUCCAUAGUCGUUCUGCUUAAGAUCCCAGAUGCUCCUAGAAUCUCCGGAACAUUCUGUAAGCGUCUGGCCUCAUGCCCCUAACCCGACCAGUUCAGGGGCUAGAUGAGGAACAGUUGAGAGAACUUCUCUGUCUGCGGACCAUCUCUCCCCGUUCCCCGACCAGGUUACAGACAGGAGCUGCGUCAUCCCCGGGGGUGCAAACAGCCAUGGGGGAGUGGGGUUGAAGGCGUUGUCUGGGCCCCAGCUGGAUUGUCCCCAAAUGCCCUUUUAUACACAGAAAGUACCGGUCUAGCGCCUGGCACAUAGUAAGUGCUCAACAAAUGGUAACUGGUAUUAUUAUUAUUAUUAUUAGGAGUUCAGCAGACAGGACUUGCAGGCUGUGGGCAUUUGGGAGCUAGUUCAGCCUUGGCCAGGACCCCGGAGGUUCUUACUGUGAGGCACUGGGAUGGAAAGGCUCUCACUAGACAAAAGGGAGAAAUGUGAUGAGGUUACCCGUAGGUGUGGCAUAGGGAUGGGGUCAAAAGAGUCAACCAUUGGAGUGACUUGAGUGCCUGCCACCCAUCGGGGCAGAUCGUGGGCCCAGGGCCAAUGCAGGGUCUUGAGGUCCCCAUGCUACACCAGGUGUACCGUCUAGUUGCUGGAUGCUAAGAAGGAAUGGGGGGAGUCAGGUAGGGAUCAAGGGGCACAGAGGCAAGCGCUGCUCCUAACUGUACUUCUAACCAGAGCAGUUGCAGCAGGUGUCCGCACUGACCCUCAGCUCUUCCUGCUGGGCCAGGGCUGGCGAGAGGAACGACGGGCCCGGCUCAACCAGGCCUUUGCUGUGUUCCAGGGGACACCAUGAAGGACGCCAGGGCUCCAACGUAUGCCAGGUGCCAGCCCAUCUCAAAGACCUUUUACAUCAAAAGUAGCGUCUUCCGGGGCGCCUGGGUGGCUCAGUUGGUUAAGCGACUGCCUUCGGCUCAGGUCAUGAUCCUGGAGUCCCAGGAUCGAGUCCCACAUCGCUGAGCAGGGAGCCUGCUUCUCCCUCUGACCUUCCCCCCUCUCAUGUGCUCUCUGUCUCUCUCAUUCUCUCUGUCUCAAAUAAAUAAAUAAAAUCUUUAAAAAAAAAAAAAAAAGUAGCGUCUUCCAUUUUCCACAGCGAAGAGACCAGCUAAGCUGAACUCACUGGGGGUUCAGAGGCAGCUCCUGUCUUUUCCUGUAGUCUGUCUGGACCCCCCGCCUGCUACCCCUCCUUGGUCCCGUCCAGCCCUGCUCCUCUGCGGAGCGUGGGAGGACAUGAACGCUUUUCUCUACCUCUGGGACUCAGGUGGCCCCCCUGCUGCCUCUUGGAUGUCCUCAGGGACCUCAGUUCCUUGCAGAGCCCUGGCCCCCACCAUCGCCAGCAAGGUGCGGGGUCCUGGCUGCUCUCCUGGGGGAACAGUGGAGUCUCCAAGUGCUCCAGCAGCAGAGCUGGGGUGGCGGGGGCCGGGGGGUGGGGCUCGCUAAGAUCUUACGGUACUAAGUGGAGGAGGGGAGCAACUCCCUGUGUUGACUCUCUACAUUUUAGUGAACGGACCCAUGGCAGAAUUGCUUGGUUCCGGUGUAUCCCACAGUUUAAGGAGGAAGUAGUCUCCAUGGUUACUUAGUCUUUAUCUCACUGUCCCCCCACGCCCUCCCCCAAGAACCUGCAUGGGUCAGGUUUGCCUCGCUGUAACAAACAGCCACUACAUCCCAGUUGCUUUAACCAAUAAAGAGGUAUUUCUUGCCGCACAGUGCACUCUGAUGGUCAGCGGGCCACCUGCCACACGCUGACCUAGGGAGCCGGGCCUCUCCCAUCGGGUGGCUCUGCCAUCUCCUAGGGCCUCAAGGUCCUUCCCUGAGUCCUUCUACGUCCAGCUGGGCACAAGGGAAGAGACAGAGAGUCUGCAGAGAACACACCCACUCUUAACCGCCUUGGCCUGAAACUGACAAAUGUCGCUUCCUGUCACAUUCUGUUGGUGAGAACACAUCCCAUGACUUGUAGGUGUGUGAAGGCUGGGAGAGCUGUGUCUCUCCUGGUCUGCCUGCCACUUCACAGAAGACCUAGGCCACCUAGAGCUGCAAUUUGAGCUCAUUUGUCUGGCUUUCCCUCAUCAACUUUGGGAAAGUUCUUGAGUGGGAAAAAGCAAGAGGCAGAGAAUGUGAGCGAGGGCCAAUGUGUGCGUGUGAUUCUAAUGGAAUUCACACUACAGCCUUGCGCACCAGAGGUGCUUGGCCAGAACCUGCUGAAUGUAAUCAAAUACCAAAUAACCCCCUGGAUUCCUCUAGGGCCAUGUGAUUGACUGCAACAACCGUGGAUCUGACAGCUCCUGGGGGUCAGGCCUCCCCGGGCUCCUGCGGAAUAAGGGACCACAUCUUCUUGGAGCUCAUAGCACAGA
RNA transcript from Mirounga angustirostris (Northern elephant seal), 8002 nucleotides. RefSeq lists it as uncharacterized. Lineage: Eukaryota; Metazoa; Chordata; Mammalia; Carnivora; Phocidae. The transcript has 2 exons. The record is from RefSeq and is a predicted model, not a curated record.